This 503-nucleotide ribosomal RNA is filed under the name uncultured beta proteobacterium. RNAcentral describes it as "bacterial SSU rRNA". It matches the Rfam family "Bacterial small subunit ribosomal RNA", at positions 9 to 507 of the family's 1533-position model. The record is from RNAcentral. Lineage: Bacteria; Pseudomonadati; Pseudomonadota; Betaproteobacteria.
GAGUUUGAUCCUGGCUCAGAUUGAACGCUGGCGGCAUGCCUUACACAUGCAAGUCGAACGGUAACGCGGGCUUCGGCCUGGCGACGAGUGGCGAACGGGUGAGUAAUACAUCGGAACGUACCCAGUAGUGGGGGAUAACCGCUCGAAAGAGUGGCUAAUACCGCAUACGCCCUGAGGGGGAAAGCGGGGGACCGCAAGGCCUCGCGCUAUUGGAGCGGCCGAUGUCCGAUUAGCUAGUUGGUGGGGUAAAGGCCUACCAAGGCGACGAUCGGUAGCUGGUCUGAGAGGAUGAUCAGCCACACUGGGACUGAGACACGGCCCAGACUCCUACGGGAGGCAGCAGUGGGGAAUUUUGGACAAUGGGGGCAACCCUGAUCCAGCCAUGCCGCGUGAGUGAAGAAGGCCUUCGGGUUGUAAAGCUCUUUCGUCCGGAACGAAAUUGCAGCGUCUAAUAAACGCUGUAGAUGACGGUACCGGAAGAAGAAGCACCGGCUAACUACGUG